This is a non-coding RNA of Pelobates cultripes (western spadefoot toad), 214 nucleotides long. The record is from the annotation of a GenBank genome assembly. Lineage: Eukaryota; Metazoa; Chordata; Amphibia; Anura; Pelobatidae.
GCCAUUAAUAUGUAUAGCUCGGGGGGAGAAGGGAGAGGGGGAUAUGAUAACACAGACUGAAAGCCAUUAAUAUGUAUAGCUCGGGGGGAGAAGGGGAUAUAAUAAAACAUAGACAGAAAGCCAUUAAUAUGUAUAGCUCGGGGGGAGAAGGGAGAGGGGGAUAUGAUAACACAGACUGAAAGCCAUUAAUAUGUAUAGCUCGGGGGGAGAUGGG